GUCUCUUAGAGAAUGCCUCUAGUGUGGUUAUCAGCUUAGAAUAGAUGUUGAAUUGGAGAUGGAGAUCAACUCAGUCAGCUCAAUUAGGAGAAGAAGACAUACGAUCGAGGCGCGUAUAAAUGGGUUGGCUCGAAUGCUUGGAUUUCACAUUCGCUCUUCCUUGCGCACCGGAUUGAGGCCUUGACUCGCAAGUCUCAUCUGUCAGAGCACUUCGUGUGGAACCCAGAACUGGUACCACAUCUUUUGAAGAAAACAUAACCACCCCAAUAUUUUGGUGCUUGUGACCCUCAAGGAACUAUCACGUGGCUUUCAGGUGAUCUGAGGAUUGAUUGUACGAGUACACUCCUCGAUGCAUACUGGGGAAGCCCACAAGAAGCUUAGUGAUCCCAACGAGUCAAGUCAAACACGCUGCACUCUUGUGAUUGAAAGUGAGCUAAGCUGAACACUCUGCCUUCUUGUGAUUGAAGGUGGAGUAAUCUCUUGACUUUGGCACUGCAUAAAGAUCCCUCUGGAUCAGUUUCUUCACUUUGUGAGCCCAAGAACUUUACAGAUUCGUACUUGGUGUGAAUUGGCAGCCCCAGGCUUUCACUUGACACUCAUUUUUGCCACCCAUAUGUAGGAUGCACUGUGAUACAAGCAUCAAAAACAAGUGCAGUGAACCCUCUUGAGUUGAAUCUUGCUUCUGCAGCCUAUACGCAGGACACACUGCAAUAU
This is a long non-coding RNA of Rosa chinensis, 714 nucleotides long. RefSeq lists it as uncharacterized. Lineage: Eukaryota; Viridiplantae; Streptophyta; Magnoliopsida; Rosales; Rosaceae. The record is from RefSeq and is a predicted model, not a curated record. The transcript has 6 exons.